Molecule: long non-coding RNA, 2128 nt
Organism: Papaver somniferum (opium poppy)
Lineage: Eukaryota; Viridiplantae; Streptophyta; Magnoliopsida; Ranunculales; Papaveraceae
Exons: 4
Source: RefSeq, a predicted model, not a curated record
UCAUUCCCAUUCAUUUUUCUCCGCCUCUCUAUCUGUCUCUCUGAGUCUGAAGAACAAGAGUAUGAGUGAUUGAAAUCGAAGAUUUGUUCUUCGUACUGGUAAUUAGGGUAUUCAGAUCUCUAUUUCUGUUAACGUGAAGAUGAAGAGAAAAAAGGAGAAGGCGAAGUCGAUUAAGCCGGGAUAUGUUCAUUAUCCCUACAGGAACAUCAGUGUGUAUGUUCAGAUGAGUAAGAUGACAGUAGAAUUCCCUCACAUAGACAAAGAAGAAAUUGAUUUGAAGAGAUUUGAGAAAAUGUUGUAUGCAAGGUUGGGACUGGAAAAAAAGAAAUAGUGAACUUGUAUUACACACCUGAUGAUCCAUGUUCCCCUGAAUCUUUGUUAACAAAUGAUGACUUCUUUAAGUUCUGGGACACUUCUGUAUCUGACGAAGCUGAUUUAUUGAAUGAAGUUUUCUGGAGAACUUUGAUCAACAAGGAGGAGCAUCUAGGAAAUUAUAUAUGUUUUGUGGAUUUAUUGAAUGAAGUGCAGAGUAUGUCAUGUUUGAGUCAAGCAAGUAGAGUUGGAACUAAUACAACAUAGAGUAGCAGUCAACCAUGUCAACAGAAGUUUGAUCAACCAAGUCAAGAGAGUAUGUCAUGUUUGAGUCAAGCAAAUAGAGUUGGAACUAAUACAACACAAGACAAGUUUGAUCAACCAAGUCAAGAGAGCUUUAACCAUGAUUACUGGUUUAAUGUACACAUGGAAGCACUGUGUACAAUGAUGAGAAUCAAUCUGAAGAUGAGGAAAAUGUACAACUAGAGAACACUGAGUUAGAUGAGUGUAACCCAGUUGAAGAUCUAGAUGACCCUUUAAUAUUUGAUAGUGAUGAAGAUGAUGAGAAGGAUUAUGCUGAAUAUUUAAAGACAUAUAAAGUUCUAGCUCACAAUGAGGAAUCAAGUACCAGUGAAGGUAUGAAAAGUGGUAAAUCUUGAAUAAUAGUAUACCUCCAGUAGCAGUGAGGAUUAUGCUGCAAGAACAUCCUCUCAUGGAAAACCACCUCCAGUACCAAACACUCAAAGAUCUGCAUCUGCAGGGCCUAGUAACACACAAAGUUUCAGUCAAUCUUUUGCUGGUAUUGAAUAUGUGGAUCAGAAUAUUGCUACUGUUACACAGGCUAAGGGAAAGCAGAGAAAGAAUGCAAACAAGAAGUAAUGUGUGUGUCUGUUUUGCUUUUUUUGUUGGAUCUGUGAUCCUUUCUUACAGUGUUUGUCUUUUGUUUCAACUGCUUUUAGGUCUGAACUUUUUUAUGGAUGACAAAACAAUAUGGAUUUUAAGUACAUUUUAAUAUUAAUCAAGUUUAUUAGUUUAAAGUAUUGCAGAUUACAUUGUAAGCUUUUUGCUAACUUCCUUACAUAUUUCUUUGACAUGAAUACUUGAAUGCAUAAUACUUUCCCUUGCAACAAUGACUAUGUGAUCAGAAACCCACAUGAAAGCUUCACAAUAUGUGCAGAUUGCGCAGUGGACAUUUGUUGUAGGAGUGACCAGCUUCUCCACAAGCACAAGAACAAAUCUUAAAUAACAGCUUGAUAUCAGCACAUCCGACUACAUCAAUGGCUAAAGCAAACCAUUCAAAGUAUCUGCAGGUAGGAUUUGAGCACCUGAAGAACAUUUCACCUUCUGUUUCAGUUGUCUUUGAUCUAAGUAAUUGUCUUAUGCCAUUACAAGGUAUAUGUUUACACCUAGAAUACAUCCAAGGACAAACCUUUGAUUCAUGGCUUCCUACAGCACAAAUUGAACAUAAAUUUGAGAAUAUGACCGUUAAAAAAGGGGAUUAAAUCUGGGCCAUUGAUUGUUUACUACAAGAUAGUGACACGUGUCAGCCGACCGAUACCGAAGUUCGCACGUGUAGAUAACGUGCUGUCACUCAUGACCCGAGUUCAUGUUGAGUCAUAGUUCCAACGCGGGCCGAUCCAGCUGAUUUAGGGGUUAGAAUGUCAUUUGACAUAGCAUAUUUAGUGCCACAUGUCAUGUAACGUCCGUUAGCCGUUUUUUGAAAAAACGGGACGGAAAAGGUCAACUCAUGGGAAUUUUCUUAAUUUUCAAAAAACGUUGGAAUUUUCUUAAUUACAUUUCCCCUCAUGGACAUUUU